Molecule: ribosomal RNA, 253 nt
Filed under: uncultured bacterium
Lineage: Bacteria
Description: partial 16S ribosomal RNA
Rfam family: Bacterial small subunit ribosomal RNA
Source: RNAcentral
UACGAAGGGGGCGAGCGUUGUUCGGAAUUACUGGGCGUAAAGCGUGCGUAGGCGGCUUUGUAAGUUGGGAGUGAAAUCCCCGGGCUCAACCCGGGAAUUGCUUUCAAAACUGCAGAGCUUGAAUCUCGGAGAGGAUAGCGGAAUUCCCAGUGUAGAGGUGAAAUUCGUAGAUAUUGGGAGGAACACCAGUGGCGUAAGCGGCUAUCUGGACGAGUAUUGACGCUGAGGCACGAAAGCGUGGGGAUCAAACAGG